This 253-nucleotide ribosomal RNA is filed under the name uncultured bacterium. RNAcentral describes it as "partial 16S ribosomal RNA". It matches the Rfam family "Bacterial small subunit ribosomal RNA", at positions 524 to 776 of the family's 1533-position model. The record is from RNAcentral.
UACAGAGGGUGCAAGCGUUAAUCGGAAUUACUGGGCGUAAAGCGUGCGUAGACGGUUAUGUAAGUCAGGUGUGAAAGCCCCGGGCUCAACCUGGGAAUUGCAUUUGAGACUGCGUAGCUAGGGUGCGGAAGAGGGAAGCGGAAUUUCCGGUGUAGCGGUGAAAUGCGUAGAUAUCGGAAGGAACAUCAGUGGCGAAAGCGGCUUCCUGGUCCAGCACCGACGUUCAGGCACGAAAGCGUGGGGAGCAAACAGG